Meleagris gallopavo (turkey) is the source of this 527-nucleotide non-coding RNA. The record is from RefSeq and is a predicted model, not a curated record. Lineage: Eukaryota; Metazoa; Chordata; Aves; Galliformes; Phasianidae.
CAGUACGUUGAGUUAUCAAUUUUUAAAACCUCUUCAAGUGCCUUAUUUAGUUAUUUUAAAAGGUGCUUUUCAUUUGUUACAGCGAGCGAGCCUGGAGCAUGGCAGCGAGGGCUGCGAGCACAUAGGGCAGAACAGCACCUGGUGUCCCUCAUCCUCUGCUGAUCAGCUCUAGGACUCAGAUGUGUGGCUAAUGGUGUACUUCCAGAAGAAGACGUACUCUGUGCAGCAGAAGAGGAAGAGUCCUGCAGUGUGUGCGUAUGAGCUGAUGGCAGCAAGACAAGAAGGGGCUGUGGCAGAAAAGGCUGUGGAACAAAACCCACAACAAUCUAAUCAUGAUCUCUGCUGGUCAGUGAGAUCUGUGUGAGAAGACAUUGCAUAAAGCAGACACAUCCAGGAAAUAAUGCCCGUCCAGUGCGGCCAGAUGGAGAGGGCAGACCUUAGCUAAGCAUUAAAGCCAGUACAUCUUCCCAUUGCUUCCAGAAUAAAGAAAGAAGGAAAGAAGGAAAGAAAGAAGGAAGGAAAGAAGG